AGGGAGGCGGAACUGCUGCAUCCGGGUACUCGGGAGCCUAUGCUGCGUGGUGAGGAGGGUUAUGUUCUCUUCAUUGAAAGCAGUAAGAGUUUAAGAAAGAUGGAGACAGACAAUGGGAGACACCCACAGUUGACCCAAAAUCUGAGAAGUCAGAAUGACGUCCGAGAAGUCAGUUCCGAGGCUUGGUGUUGGGGAUUAAACAACUGUGACAUUUAUUUCCAGGAUUUGUAAAUAGGAUACAUCCAAACAUACUUACGGUUAAUAAAGCAUGACAAUUGCCUUAAAAUAACUUUUCAUUGAAUAAACUAAUCACAUCUGUAAAUAGAGUCAUUCUAUGAGCUUCUUUGCAAGUCAAAAGAGUGGCAGUUUUACAAAAGUUACUUUCUUUGGAGGGAGAUACAAAUUCACUUUUCCCUUGUUCAUCUUCACCCCACAUUCCCAAACAGGCAAAGAAAUGGAGAGAAUAAAAACCUUAUUACAGAAUCUGCACCCACCCACGCGAUCUGCCUUGGCACUGUCCACAGUAUCAUAAACCUCUCCAAGGCAGCAUCACGAUGGAAAUCAUUCUUAAGGAAAUGUUUAGAAACAUUUUUCUAAAUGGCGUCACAAGUAAACUGAGAAGACACUGCCCAUCUGCCAGGAACUUUUGCUGAAAGUUGUCAUGAAGCUGUGUGAGUGGAUGGAAAAAUUAAAUGAGUUUCAGAUUUGACAAGUGUAAAAAGGAUGUGUUCGGGGAAAUAAUGUGAAACCUUACAUAUAAGAUGAUGGCCUCUUAAGCUUUUGGUUAUUGAAAAGGACAGGGGUGUAGGAGUCUCUGUAAACGAUUCAAAAUAUCAGUCAAAUGUGUGCCCAAAAUAAGGGGACCAGAAAAAUCCUAGAUGUUAACAGUAAGAAUAUUGGAAACACAAUGGAAAGCAUUACCUUGCCCUUGAGCAUAAUAUUGGUAUAUUGGUAUCUAGAAUAUGUGUAGUCUACCUGAGUUAAAGUCUGCAAAGAAUGUCAGUGUUUCUUUAUUUUUCUAAGCAAUAUAGUCUUUUCUGAUCAUUUAUCCCCUCACUUGAUUCAAAAUCCAGUUUUGGUUAUCAGUAAAGCAUCUUGCAGAGACUUUGUAGGCUAAUGCAGGCAGAAAUGACAUCUCUUGACAAUAGCACAUCUUGCCAUCCAAGAAUGUGACACUUUAAUACAUGUAUUUAAAAAUUUUUAGGUCCUUCACUGUGGUAGGCAGAUGAAUAGCCCCCAAAGAUGUCCACACCCUGAUUCCCAGAACUUGUGAAUUGGUUACCUCACAAAAGGAUUUUUGCAGAUGUGAUUAAAACUAAGGACCUGGUGAUGACGUUAUCCUGAAUUACAUACAGGGCUGGGUGAAGUCAGCCCAAUCCAAUCACAGGAAAGAUUCAAAGCCUGAGGAUGCCACACCCUUUUGCUGCAUCUGAAAUGUUGAGGGCUAUCUGCAAGGUCCUGAGAAGCCUCUAGGAGCUAAGGUCGGCUCCUAGCUGACUGUCACCAAGGUAACAGAGGUCUCAGUCCCACAACCUCAUGGAAUUGAAUUCUGCCAACACCUGAAUGAGCAGGGUGUUGGAGAUUUUCCCCUGGUCUCCAAAAGAAACAUAGCCCUGCUGACAUCUUGACUUUUGCCCGGUGAGACUUCUCACCUCCAGAACUGUAAGAUAAUAAACUUGGUUUGAUCUAAGCCACUGAGCCUGUGGUUAUUUGUUACUGAAGCAGUAGAAAACUAAUACUUCCACUGAAAUUUUAUAGCUUUUUUCAUCCACGUCUGGCUCUUGUCUUGCUAGGUGUAUUCUGAAAUAUUUUAAUGGUAUUGCAGAUUGUGAAUAGGAUCCCUUUUUUACAGGUUCAUUUUGUUUCAUGUACAUAACCCCUAACCAAAUUUUUACACCCAAUGUGAAAGAUUUUUUUUCACUUGAUAGGUAAAUUCAACUCAUUUACACUUAUUAGAGUAGCUGCAAUAUGACCUUAUCACUUCAGUAGUGUAUCUUAUUUAUUUUACUUGGCUUUUUUUUUUCUCACUUUUUCCCAUUUUAUUUUGCCAGCCUGAUCAAAUUUGUUCUUUUUCCUCCCUCCCACUAUUCAUUUAGAGGUUCUGCAAUGCUUUACCAUGCCAUUACUGGUUUCCUGGCUACCUUUUUUUUUUUUUUUUAAUCUCUACCAAACAUUUAAACCUGUUUCCUCCUCCCCUCCUGUCUCCUUCCACGAAUAUUUAUAGAAUGUUUAUUGUAUUAGAUGCUAUUAGGUUAAGAAAAAUUUAGUGGCUCUUUCUCCUACUAAAAUUAAAUUUUUUUCAUUAUUUAAAAAAAUUUUGUUUUUAAUGUGUAUUUACUUUUGUGAGAGAGAGAUUACCAGCUGGGAGGGGCAGAGAGAGAAGGAGACACAGAAUCUGAAGCAGGCUCCAGGCUCUCAGCUGUCAGCACAGACACGACACGGGGCUUGAAGUCACAACGUGAGAUCAUGACCUGAGCCACAGUCGGACGCUUGACCAAUCAUGUGGUAUCCAGUUUUUCCACCACUGAAAACUACGCCUUGGAACCAAUGUUGGAUUCUGAAAACAGCGGUGGUAGCAGAGCUCCUCUGAAUGCUCCUACUCCAUGCUUUUAAGGUCAACAGAGCUAUGUUCAGGAUACAGCCUGGAGCAGCUGAUUGCAAUGAAGACCCCAGCCCUAUCCGAGGAGUCACUUCCAAGAUACAUGACAUCGUAGCUCAGGUGUAAACUCAGCUCUCUCCGACCAAGAGGAUCAGAGGAGCUUUCAACCAAGGAGGCUCAUCUAAAGAGUGAGCUGCAAAGAGGAAAAAGUGCAGAGUGAUUGUGACACAGAAGAAGACCUAUCCAUUGACCUUACAUCACAGACGAGUUGACAUCAGACAUCUCUGUUGCUAGAGCUGCUGUAGAAUGGUUGCAAAUAGUCACCAGUGCAGCAUUCAAGGUAAGUAACAUGAAGAUCAAUAAACUCCAGUCUGAUGUGACAUUCCUGUCUUCUAGUAUGUCCCAAGGAACUCCUGCCAUUGGUUCAGCCAUCACCCAUGUGGGCUCAUGCCUCCACUGCCUACAAUUACUGAGCCGCGCUAUGGCUGAGCUGUUACUCCUACAGCUCCUCCUGAUGACAUGUCUCAGGUUGGUAGCUCUGGCCUGGAAAUAUCACACUUAUAAUGCCAUUUAAGAGGCACCCCUCAAUAUAUCCAGCUUAUAUCUGUUUCCUGCCAUGAAGACUUACCACAUGAGGAUGUUAUCUGUGACAUCACCACAGAAGCUUCUGCCUCUGUCCCCAUGGCAGCCGCCCUAGAGAGGUGUUAGGGAUUCUGUACUGUCAUUUGGCUUUGAAGAAGCCAGGAAAGCAAGUGAACAGCACACAGAUCCAGAUGUGUAUCUGCCAAUAUCAUUCCCAAUAACCCACAAAGGUGCAAUUACUGGUGGUGUUAUUACACUAUAAGGACUGAUGGGUGCCCCUGCCUAGCUAACGAUGUAACAUUUGUGUCCCUGCCUAAUGGCCGCCUAUAUCACUCGUUUGAGAGUUACUCCAUUCCACACAACAAUAUAACUCUUCAGUGCACACCUUGCUCACCAGGGUGCUGCUACUUAAUCAGACAAGCUGUCUCAGCCAUCCUCCCCUGAAUGUCAGAGGAACCAUAAUUAACCAUAUGUGGAUUAUGUUACAUGACCUUCACAAGGAAUUUGACUUCAAUAAUGGUACAUCAUGGGAGGCAAAUUAACUGGAGAAUGUCAACUGGUCCAGAAUGGAAAGAGGCAAAGUACUGCACAAGGCUACACUAUCCAUGCUGUAAAAGACUUCGGUUGCAAAGGUUACAUAUCACGCAAUCUACUGUAUGCCUGCUCCCCCAAGUCCUUUCACAGCCUUUACGUGACCAUGCUCGAUUUUUGCGACCUUGGCUCAACAACCAAUCCCAGCUACUGUCUCAGGAGACUCAGCACUUGUCUGGCCCUGUGUAAAGAUGAACUAUUCUGUCUUCAACCCAACAACAACUGACCUUUACUUCAAGGUACAAUGCAGUGAAGCCAUGAUGCUUUACCAGUGGAACAGGAUCUUUUACAGCGCUUUGCCUUCCAGAGACAAAGGAUGACACAUAUCAAGCAGUCUGGCCAAUAAAACACAUGUUCUUGGGGUAGUCACCCCAGCCAUUGCCCCGGUUUUCAACAACCAUUUCAUCAAAGCACAUUAAUGGUGCAGAGUCCAAUGCGGGGUUGAACUCAGGACCCUGAGAUCAAGACCUGAACUGAGAUGCUGAGAUCAAGAGUCAGAUGCUCAACUGACUGAGCCACCCAGUCGCCCCUCUAUUGUUUAAAACUGAAAUACGGUUUUAUUUUAUAGAUUUUUUUCCUCAUAAAGUACAUAAAAUAAUGAAUUUGAUGCCACUCCCCAAAACAUGGGGGGGGGUGUACCUUCCUUAUUAUCCUUCACAUUCUAAAGUGAUUAAUAUCUUCACUCAUGGUGAUUGAUUUCAGACUAGGUAGUGUAAACAACAGAAAUUUAUUUUCUUCCACAGCUUUGGAGGCUGGAAGUUCAAGUGCAAGGUGCUGGCAGGGCUAGUUUCUGGUGAGGCUCUCUUUCCUAGCUUGCAGAUGGUUAGCUUGUCACUGCGUGCUCACGUGGCAUUUUCUGUGAGCAUGUGUGCCCCGGGUGUCUCUUCCUCUUCUUAUAAGGACACCAAGUCCUAUUGGAUGGGGGCCCCACACAUGUGACCUCAUUGAACCUUAAUGACUCCUUUAAAGGCCUUAUCUUCAAAUAUUCAGGUUCGGGCUCCAACAUAUGAAUUGGGAGAGGGGGACACAAUUUAGUCCAUAACAGAUUUGGUAGAAAGAUAAUUUUAAUUUGUGGUUAUUGUCUUUGUAUAUAAACUUUCUCAGUAUUUCUCUGCCUUUCAAAUAUGCUAUCAUAAAGACUGAGAAAAUGUGAUUCCUUAUUUCCCACAUUGCCGUUCCAUCCCAGUUUAUUAUAAUAAAGAUAGGUCUAUUCAGUGCUCAGUGUAUUCCAGGAACUGCCCCAGAUUCUGGGACAUAUCCAUGAAAGAACCAAUGCCCCUGUUCUUAGCUCAUAAUGUGAUCAGACCUUUAGAAAUUCAGAAAAUUGCUACCUUCAAAGACAUCUAGCAGUUCAGGAGUCCCAGAUUGUGAACUUUUUAAAUUAAUUUUUUAAUGUUUAUUU
This is a long non-coding RNA of Neofelis nebulosa (Clouded leopard), 5174 nucleotides long. RefSeq lists it as uncharacterized. The transcript is spliced from 5 exons. Lineage: Eukaryota; Metazoa; Chordata; Mammalia; Carnivora; Felidae. The record is from RefSeq and is a predicted model, not a curated record.